RNAcentral lists this ribosomal RNA (516 nucleotides) under uncultured bacterium. RNAcentral's name for it is "bacterial SSU rRNA". It matches the Rfam family "Bacterial small subunit ribosomal RNA", at positions 13 to 518 of the family's 1533-position model. The record is from RNAcentral.
UUGAUCAUGGCUCAGAUUGAACGCUGGCGGCAGGCUUAACACAUGCAAGUCGAACGGUAACAUAAAGAAGCUUGCUUCUUUGAUGACGAGUGGCGGACGGGUGAGUAAUGCUUGGGAAUCUAGCUUAUGGAGGGGGAUAACUACGGGAAACUGUAGCUAAUACCGCGUAGUAUCGAGAGAUGAAAGUGUGGGACCUUCGGGCCACAUGCCAUAGGAUGAGCCCAAGUGGGAUUAGGUAGUUGGUGAGGUAAAGGCUCACCAAGCCGACGAUCUCUAGCUGGUCUGAGAGGAUGACCAGCCACACUGGGACUGAGACACGGCCCAGACUCCUACGGGAGGCAGCAGUGGGGAAUAUUGCGCAAUGGGGGCAACCCUGACGCAGCCAUGCCGCGUGAAUGAAGAAGGCCUUCGGGUUGUAAAGUUCUUUCGGUAGCGAGGAAGGCAUUUAGUUUAAUAAACUAGGUGAUUGACGUUAACUACAGAAGAAGCACCGGCUAACUCCGUGCCAGCAGCCGC